GGAGGUUACGGCGUGUCCGGCACGUGGUUCCGGCACGUCUGAGAGGUGUUCCUGGCAUGCCAGGCAGGUGAUUCGGGAGAGGCCGCCAAGUGGUACUGGCAUAGCCGGCACGUGAUUUUGUCGUGUCCGGCAGGUGGGUCUGGCGAGAAAAGCAGGUGGUUCCGAUGAGAGUUGCAAAUUGUUCCGGUCUGUCCUGGAAGUGGUUCCGGCGUGUCCGGAAUGUGCUUCUGGCACGUCUGAGAGUUGGUUCCAGCAUGCACAGCAGGUGAUUCCGGAUUGUCCAUCAAGUGGUUCUGGCGUAGCCAGCAGGUGAUUUUGGCAUCCGGGAGGUGGUUCCGGCGAGUUGAGCAGGUGGUUCCGGCGUGUUCGGCAGGUGCAUCCGGUGUCUCUGGCACGUGGUUCUGGCAUGUCUUAGAGGUGGUUCCAGCUUGCCAGGCAGGUGAUGCCGGAGUGUCUGGCCAGUGGUUCUGGUGUAGCCGGCAGGUGAUUUUGGCGUGUCCGGCAGGUAGUUCUGGGGAGUGCAUCAGGUGGUUCCAGCAUGCUCAGCAGGUGGUUCCGGUGUGUCCGGGAGGUGGUUCCUGCGUGUCUGGCACAUGGUUCAGGCACGUCUUAGAUGCGGUUCCGACGCACCCGGCAUAUGAUUCCGGAGUGUCCGCCAAGUGGUUCUGGCAUAGCUGGAAGGUGAUUUUGGCAUGUCCGGCAGGUGGUUCCGGCGAGUCGACCUGGUGGUUCCGGCAUGCUUGGCAGGUGCUUCUGGCAUCUCCGGCACGUGUUUCUGGCACGUCUGAGAGGUGGUUCCGGCAUGCACAGCGGGUGAUUCCGGAUUGUCCACCUAGUGGUUCUGGCGUAGCCAGCAGGUGAUUUUGGCGUUUCUGGCAAGUGCUUCCAGCGAGUUGAGCAAGUGGUUCCGGCAAGCUCGGCAGGUGGUUCACUUGUGUCUGGCAGGUGGUUCCAGUCUACCCAGGACGUGGUUCUGGCGUGUCCGGCACGUGGUGCUGGUACGUCUGAGAGGUGGGUCCAGCAUGCCCAGCAGGUGAUUCCGGAGUGUCCGCCAAGUGGUUCUGGCGUAGCCGGCAGGUGAUUUUGGCUUGUCCGGCACGUGUUUCAGGGGAGUGGAUCAGGUCGUUCCGGCAUGCUCGGCAGGUGCUUCCGGCAUCUCCGGCAUGUGAUUCUCACACAUUUGAGAGGUGGUUCCGGCAUGGCCGACAAGUGAUUCCUGAGUGUCCGGCAAGUGGUUCUGGUGUAGCCGGCAGGUGAUUUUGGCAUUUCCGGCAGGUGGUUCCGACGUGUUGAACAGGUGGUUCCGGUGAGCUCAUUAGUUGCUUCCAUCAUCUCUGGUACGUGGUUCUGGAAUGUCUGAGAGGUGGUUCCGGCAUGCCCGGCAGGUGAUUCCAGACUGUCCACCAAGUGGUUCUGGCACAGCCGGCAGGUCAUAUUGGCGUAUCUGGUAGGUGGGUCCUGCGAGUCGAGCAGAUGGCUCCAGCGUGCUCGGCAGGUGGUUCAGGCGUGUCCGGCAGGUGGUUCUGGCAUAGCCAGCAGGUGUUUUGGCCUGUCUGGCAGUUGGUUGCGGCGAGUCGUGCAUGUGGCUCCGGCGUGCUUGGUAGGUGGAUCCAGCGUGUCCGGCAAGUGCUUCCAGUCUGUCCGGUAGGUGCUUCCGGUGUCUUCAGCACAUGAUUCUGGCACAUUUGUGACGUGGUUCUGGCUUGCCCAACAAGUGAUUCCAGAGUGUCCGGCAAGUGGUUCUGGCAUAUCCGGCACAUGAUUAUGGCGUGUCCAGCAGGUGGUUCCGGCCUGUCGAGCAGGUGGUUCCAGUGAGCUCGGUAG
This is a long non-coding RNA of Equus caballus (horse), 1824 nucleotides long. The record is from Ensembl. NCBI's taxonomy places the organism in Eukaryota, Metazoa, Chordata, Mammalia, Perissodactyla, Equidae.